Cynocephalus volans (Philippine flying lemur) is the source of this 418-nucleotide long non-coding RNA. RefSeq lists it as uncharacterized. The transcript is spliced from 3 exons. Lineage: Eukaryota; Metazoa; Chordata; Mammalia; Dermoptera; Cynocephalidae. The record is from RefSeq and is a predicted model, not a curated record.
AGUAAUGCCGCCUACCUCAUAAGAGCCAUUCCUUCAGCACACAUGUAUUGAGCGCCUACUGUGUGCCAGGCCCUGCUGCAGGCCCAUGGGAUUGGGGGGUGCAAAGUCCCAGGCCUGGUGGACCUGUCUUGAGACAAACAGGAGACAUUGAAUAAUACAUGAUCCAGAUUCCUGGCUGGUCAGAUGGAGGAUCAUCGUCGUCGUCAUCAUCAGCUACCCAGCCUGCCUCCUGAGGUGAAUGUAACUUCUUGGGCAUGGGUGUUCCCAUCUGGAAAGUGGCGUUAGAACUCCAGUCUCCUCACCUGGCAGGGGGCCUCAACUUAGGUGGCUGGUACAGGAAUCGAACGCUGUACCUUGGUGUUAUCAGUACCACACUAACCAACUGAGCUAACUGGCCAGCCCUAUAUUUUCUAAAAAU